Molecule: long non-coding RNA, 225 nt
Filed under: Populus tremula
Lineage: Eukaryota; Viridiplantae; Streptophyta; Magnoliopsida; Malpighiales; Salicaceae
Description: long non-coding RNA (PTRE_LNC000624)
Source: RNAcentral
AUACAUUUAGAAAAUCAUCUGGAAUAUGCUCAAUAUUUGUAAGUGUAUGUGGUAAUGCAUGAGUUUCAAUGGUCUGAUCUUCUGUAUCAGACUCACUAUCAGACUGGCUUUCAAUUUUGGAUAAAAGAUGUUGUAGUAUGGCAGAGUCUUUUUGUUGGGCUUGUUUAAGGGAUUGUAAUUCGGAUUUGAGGGUUUUUAUCUCAGAAUGUAAUUCUGGAAUGGUAA